AAAUAAAAAUUUAAAAUUAGUUUUUUUAUUGAUUAUAAAUUUAAAUUAUAUAUAUAAAUUUAUAUAAUAAAUUUUAUUUAAAUAAUAAAAUUUAUAUUAAUAUAAAGCAUUAAUAUAGUUAAUAAUUUAAUUAUUAGUAAUAUUUAUAAUAUAUGUUAAAUUAGUGCCAGCAUCAGCGGUUAAACUAAUUAAUAUAAAUUAAUAAUAUUUAUUAUUAUAUCAAAUUAAAUAAUAUAUAAUAAUUUUAAAUAUAUUAUGAUAAAAUAAAAAUAUUUAAUUUAUUAUUUUAUUUAUUAAUUUUAUUAAUUAAUUAAUAUAAAAAACUAGGAUUAGAUACCCUAUUAUUGUUAAAUAAAAUAUAUAAAUAAAUUAGUAAAAAUAUUUAAAAUUUAAAAUUUAUGGCGGUAUUUUAAUCUAAUUAGAGGAAUUUGUUGUAUAAUUGAUAAUCCACGAUAGGAUAAACAUUAUAUAUAAUUUUUAUGUAUGUUCGUUAUAAAAAUGUUUUAUAAAAAUAAAAAUUUUUAAAAAAUUUAAGUUAAUUAUAUUUCAGAUCAAUAUGUAAAUUUAUUAUAAUGAAUUAAAUGAAUUACAAUAGUAUAAAAUUAUGGAUAAAAAUUUUAAAAUAAAUUUUAGAAAUUGGAUUUAAUAGUAAUAUAAAUAAAUUAAUUUAUAUGAAUAUAGUUUAAAAUAUGUACAAAUUGCCCGUCACUUCUAUUAUAAUAUACAAUAGAAUAAGUCGUAACAAAGUAAAUAUACUGGAAAGUGUAUUUAGUUAUAUAAUA
Molecule: non-coding RNA, 782 nt
Filed under: Pachyneuron aphidis
Lineage: Eukaryota; Metazoa; Arthropoda; Insecta; Hymenoptera; Pteromalidae
Source: RNAcentral